CUUCACCGAGCCGAGCAGCAACGGCCGGUCCCCGUGCCGGUCCUGGCCGUACGUGGCGAGGAGGGCCUGGGCCUC
RNAcentral lists this antisense RNA (75 nucleotides) under Streptomyces wadayamensis. RNAcentral's name for it is "Aspks sRNA". It matches the Rfam family "ASpks TB sRNA". RNAcentral also lists the same sequence under 1 other name. The record is from RNAcentral. Lineage: Bacteria; Bacillati; Actinomycetota; Actinomycetes; Kitasatosporales; Streptomycetaceae.